AACGAACGCUGGCGGCAUGCCUAACACAUGCAAGUCGAACGAGACCUUCGGGUCUAGUGGCGCACGGGUGCGUAACACGUGGGAAUUUGCCUCGGGGUAUGGAAUAACUCAGGGAAACUUGAGCUAAUACCAUAUAAUGUCUUCGGACCAAAGAUUUAUCGCCCUGAGAUAAGCCCGCGUAGGAUUAGCUAGUUGGUGGGUAAAGGCUCACCAAGGCGACGAUCCUUAGCUGGUCUGAGAGGAUGAUCAGCCACACUGGGACUGAGACACGGCCCAGACUCCUACGGGAGGCGAGCAGGUAGGGGAA
RNAcentral lists this ribosomal RNA (307 nucleotides) under uncultured bacterium. RNAcentral's name for it is "bacterial SSU rRNA". It matches the Rfam family "Bacterial small subunit ribosomal RNA", at positions 29 to 362 of the family's 1533-position model. The record is from RNAcentral.